GACUCUCGGCAACGGAUAUCUCGGCUCUCGCAUCGAUGAAGAACGUAGCAAAUGCGAUACCUGGUGUGUAACGAACACGAGUUCGGCCAUGAACGGGUGAAAACGGCCUCACCGGCCACCGGGGAGGAAAAUGUGAGGGAUG
RNAcentral lists this ribosomal RNA (142 nucleotides) under Setaria italica (foxtail millet). Its description in RNAcentral is "rRNA 5_8S_rRNA". It matches the Rfam family "5.8S ribosomal RNA". Rfam says of the family: 5.8S ribosomal RNA (5.8S rRNA) is a component of the large subunit of the eukaryotic ribosome. Lineage: Eukaryota; Viridiplantae; Streptophyta; Magnoliopsida; Poales; Poaceae. The record is from Rfam by way of RNAcentral.